AACGCUAGCUACAGGCUUAACACAUGCAAGUCGAGGGGCAGCAUGAUUGAAGCUUGCUUCAAUUGAUGGCGACCGGCGCACGGGUGAGUAACACGUAUCCAACCUGCCGAUGACUCGGGGAUAGCCUUUCGAAAGAAAGAUUAAUACCCGAUGGCAUAGUUCUUCCGCAUGGUGGAACUAUUAAAGAAUUUCGGUCAUCGAUGGGGAUGCGUUCCAUUAGGUUGUUGGCGGGGUAACGGCCCACCAAGCCUUCGAUGGAUAGGGGUUCUGAGAGGAAGGUCCCCCACAUUGGAACUGAGACACGGUCCAAACUCCUACGGGAGGCAGCAGUGAGGAAUAUUGGUCAAUGGACGAGAGUCUGAACCAGCCAAGUAGCGUGAAGGAUGACUGCCCUAUGGGUUGUAAACUUCUUUUAUACGGGAAUAAAGUGAGGCACGUGUGCCUUUUUGUAUGUACCGUAUGAAUAAGGAUCGGCUAACUCCGUGCCAGCAGCCGCGGUAAUACGGAGGAUUCGAGCGUUAUCCGGAUUUAUUGGGUUUAAAGGGAGCGUAGGCGGACGCUUAAGUCAGUUGUGAAAGUUUGCGGCUCAACCGUAAAAUUGCAGUUGAUACUGGGUGUCUUGAGUACAGUAGAGGCAGGCGGAAUUCGUGGUGUAGCGGUGAAAUGCUUAGAUAUCACGAAGAACUCCGAUUG
Molecule: ribosomal RNA, 693 nt
Filed under: uncultured bacterium
Lineage: Bacteria
Description: bacterial SSU rRNA
Rfam family: Bacterial small subunit ribosomal RNA
Source: RNAcentral